Molecule: ribosomal RNA, 497 nt
Filed under: uncultured bacterium
Lineage: Bacteria
Description: partial 16S ribosomal RNA
Rfam family: Bacterial small subunit ribosomal RNA
Source: RNAcentral
GAUGAACGCUGGCGGCGUGCCUAAUACAUGCAAGUCGAGCGAACAGACGAGGAGCUUGCUCCUCUGACGUUAGCGGCGGACGGGUGAGUAACACGUGGAUAACCUACCUAUAAGACUGGGAUAACUUCGGGAAACCGGAGCUAAUACCGGAUAAUAUAUUGAACCGCAUGGUUCAAUAGUGAAAGACGGUUUUGCUGUCACUUAUAGAUGGAUCCGCGCCGCAUUAGCUAGUUGGUAAGGUGACGGCUUACCAAGGCAACGAUGCGUAGCCGACCUGAGAGGGUGAUCGGUCACACUGGAACUGAGACACGGUCCAGACUCCUACGGGAGGCAGCAGUAGGGAAUCUUCCGCAAUGGGCGAAAGCCUGACGGAGCAACGCCGCGUGAGUGAUGAAGGUCUUCGGAUCGUAAAACUCUGUUAUUAGGGAAGAACAAAUGUGUAAGUAACUAUGCACGUCUUGACGGUACCUAAUCAGAAAGCCACGGCUAACUACGUG